ACGGAAGGCAGCAGUGGGGAAUAUUGGGCAAUGGGCGAAAGCCUGACCUAGCGACGCCGCGUGAGGGAAGAAGGUCUUCGGAUUGUAAACCUCUUUCAGCAGGGAAGAAGCAAGUGACGGUACCUGCGGAAGAAGUCACGGCUAACUACGUGCCAGCAGCCGCGGUAAUACGUAGGUGGCGAGCGUUAUCCGGAAUUACUGGGUGUAAAGGGUGUGUAGGCGGAGAAGCAAGUCAGGCGUGAAAUUUAUGGGCUCAACCCAUAAACUGCGCUUGAAACUGUUUCCCUUGAGAGUGGGAGAGGUAAACGGAAUUCCUGGUGUAGUAGUGAAAUGCGUAGAUAUCAGGAGGAACACCGGUGGCGAAGGCGGUUUACUGGACCACAACUGACGCUGAGACACGAAAGCGUGGGGAGCAAACAGGAUUAGAUACCCUGGUA
Molecule: ribosomal RNA, 437 nt
Rfam family: Bacterial small subunit ribosomal RNA